UACGUAGGUGGCAAGCGUUGUCCGGAUUUAUUGGGCGUAAAGCGAGCGCAGGCGGUUCCUUAAGUCUGAUGUGAAAGCCCACGGCUCAACCGUGGAAGGUCAUUGGAAACUGGUCGACUUGAGUGCAGAAGAGGGAAGUGGAAUUCCAUGUGUAGCGGUGAAAUGCGUAGAGAUAUGGAGGAACACCAGUGGCGAAGGCGGCUUCCUGGUCUGUAACUGACGCUGAGUCACGAAAGCGUGGGUAGCAAACAGGAUUAGAUA
RNAcentral lists this ribosomal RNA (261 nucleotides) under uncultured prokaryote. RNAcentral describes it as "partial 16S ribosomal RNA". It matches the Rfam family "Bacterial small subunit ribosomal RNA", at positions 524 to 784 of the family's 1533-position model. The record is from RNAcentral.